GGCAAAUACAUUUGUACAUCAUUUGCUUAACAGUGGAAGGUAUUUCUAGAGAAGCAGUCAUUACAAGUGUCAUUGCAAAAGGAGAGAGUCACGUGACUCACAUUCAACACUGAACACAAGAAGAUCCUCGAAGAUCUUUCAGAUGAUGAAGAAGUUUGUGCAAAUGAAGAUUACUGGAAUGGGCAGAGGAGCUGGAAAACACAACAUGCUUUAUAAAGGUCUAACAUGUUCACCAGAGCAGAGAGGACCAAUCAGGACACAGGACUAAACAGAUCCCAGUGGUCUGAGACAUAAAAACAUUAAUCAAUAACAACACCCAAGCCUCAUUGUUUAAAACGGUGACGAGGAUUGGACGAAGUCUUCAGAUUAACAUUUUAAUAGUCAAAAUGAUUAAAAAUAUAUGUACAUUUGAAUAGUUUAUUUUUAAAAUCAUUAAAUAAUAACAAUAAAAGUUUCCAAUAGGUCUAUGUUGUCAUAGUUCAAAUGUCUAUUUUACCGUUAUAUUCAGUGACUGACAGCUAAUACUACUGUAAGGGCGUAUAUUGAGA
Carassius gibelio (silver crucian carp) is the source of this 548-nucleotide long non-coding RNA. RefSeq lists it as uncharacterized. The record is from RefSeq and is a predicted model, not a curated record. NCBI's taxonomy places the organism in Eukaryota, Metazoa, Chordata, Actinopteri, Cypriniformes, Cyprinidae. The transcript has 3 exons.